This 486-nucleotide ribosomal RNA is filed under the name Melithaea sp. RMNH Coel 39452. RNAcentral's name for it is "eukaryotic LSU rRNA". The record is from RNAcentral. Lineage: Eukaryota; Metazoa; Cnidaria; Anthozoa; Malacalcyonacea; Melithaeidae.
AAACCGUUGAAAGGGAAGCGAAUGGAGUUAGCAAUUCGCCCUGUCAGACUCAGCCGCUCGCGAGUAGCGACGCGCGCGUUCUCGAUCCCUAUAGACGAGGCGCGUGCGGGCGCGACUUGCGGACGGCGCACUUCUGGCGGGCGAGCGUCAGCGUCGGUUGUCGACGGGCGAGAAGGUCGCGAGGAAGGUGGACCGGCCUCACGGCCGGUUGUUAAGCCUCGCGCUCGCACGGCCCGACGACGACCGUGGCUCAGGGAGGCGACGCGUGCCUGGCUGGCGACUCGCUCGAUCGGUCCGGCAUGUCGACCGUGGCGGACGGCACGCCUGUGCGCUCGAACUGCUGCCGGUCGAUCGGACGAUGUUCGCACACUACGCGUCGAAGGUGCUGACGACCAUACGGCUCCAUCCGACCCGUCUUGAAACACGGACCAAGGAGUCUAACAUGUGCGCGAGUCUCCGGGUGAUCGAAACCCGUGGGCACAAUGA